UUACCUACCAUAAAAUAUUCAGGUGAACCUUUUUUAUGCAAAAUGGACAGAGAGUCUUAGCCUAAAACACCUAAGUAUUAUUUAAAUGUCUUAUGCUUCUUUUAGAUGAGUCAAAAAAUAUAUCCUUGAUUCUGAACUUAUUAGAGCCAUAUGGCCAAUCAUAAAAAGAAUACGCCUCUCUCAACACUUUCACUGAGGAGGAGCAGGUUGAGGAGCGCGGAUCCAGGCUAGCCCUCUUGGGCAAGCCAGGCAGUCUGUUCAGGAAACAUCUCUUUAAAAAUAGCAGCAAGAGUUUCCCUUUUCAUUUAGACGUUGGUUUACCUAUCCUCCACUAACAGCCUGUUAAAAUACCAUCCCAGUGACUGACAUAUUUGCAAAAAUUAUUGUAGUUCUCAGCCUCGUGGGAGGCCCCAACUGAGAAAGCAAUAUGUGGCUAUCUUCGAGGUAAAGCCUUAACUCGAAUCUCAGACCCAACGCUGGAAGAUGCCACGCACCCCAGAAAUAGAGUGUGGCCCUUCUAGGAAGUGCCGUUUCCUGCCUAGAUCCUUUUCUCUCACCUGAAAGAACCAGAACAGCCCAGGGAGAAAGGGCUGCUGGUCCUGCAGGGUGUCUCCUACCUCAUGACCUCAUUACGUGCCUGUCCCCAAAGCUGAGUCACUUUGCUCCUGAUUCCCAGAUUCUGGCCUGUGUUUUCUUCAUCAGGUUUAUCUUGAUGCCUGUCAUGCAGUAUUCCUUGAAAGUCAGCAUCCCUCAAAUUCCUGUCAUUCCCAGGAGACAUGGACUGUGUUUCAACAAUCUCAGAUACCUUUUAUGAUGUGGAAGGCAGGAGAAAGCAUGGCUCAUUGACACACUGCUGUGUCCUGUUUUUGUCUGGGUGGUGCAACCUUUGACAGAGUAGUGGAUCUGGGCCAUAUGGGAGAGACCACCACAACUGCCCAAUGGGAGUGUCACAAUUCCCUGAGCUAUGGGAGCCAGGCUGCCCCGGAAUGUAGACUCGGACCCGGAGCUGAUGUCACAAUCACAGAGUUCACUAUUCAGUGAAUGCAGGAUUCCUAAGUUUCCAUCAGGGUUGAGGCACUGCACAGAGACUCCGAGAAUAAACCAUGCAACAGAGGCACAGCUGUUCGCUGAGCCUACCCUGCAAUGGAGGACCAAAACAUCUGAAGCCAAAACAAGUUGUUAUUCACGCCGCUGGCUAAUGAAAUUAAACAGAGCAAUCAGCCCAUCCAGCUCUCUGUUUCUCUCCUUACCCUACAAGAACGUUUCUGUCAAAUGUUCAAUGUCUGCUAACAUCAGGCACCAUCACGUCUUCAGUUCUGGCAGCCGAGACCCUGGGACGAGGCCGAGAGGGUGGAAGGAAAGCCUCGGGGUUAGAGAAGGGAGUCCCUGGGCAGGGCCCUACCUGAUACGACCCAGGGAUAGGACGCCAUUCCCACUCCUUGGGAUGCCCCAAAGUGGCUUCCCAAGCUCCUGUGAACAGAGAGGAAGAAGGCACUCCAGAGAGUCACAUGCAUGGUAA
RNAcentral lists this long non-coding RNA (1519 nucleotides) under Rhinopithecus bieti (black snub-nosed monkey). RNAcentral's name for it is "lncRNA (ENSRBIG00000045990.1)". Lineage: Eukaryota; Metazoa; Chordata; Mammalia; Primates; Cercopithecidae. The record is from RNAcentral.